GUGCUUGCAUCAGCAGCACAUAUACUAGAAGUUGGAAUGAUAUAGAAAGAUUAGUAUUACCCCUGUGCAAGGAUGACAUGCAAAUUUGUGAAGUGUUCAUAGUUUUU
RNAcentral lists this small nuclear RNA (107 nucleotides) under Dasypus novemcinctus (nine-banded armadillo). The record is from RNAcentral. Lineage: Eukaryota; Metazoa; Chordata; Mammalia; Cingulata; Dasypodidae.